AUACAUUUCGGAAUAUGUUCAAAGGCUUUUGAUAUGUUCUGAUUUGACAUACAUUUCAGCAGACAAUAAAGACUAACAAAAUUAUUUCUUUACAAUACAUUUGACAGGUCUCUGCAGAUUAAAGGAAAUGAUGCUUUACACCCCUCUAUAAAGUUCUCGUUUUGAAUUGGUUUACAUACCAGGAAAAUGUAGAUGCACCUUACACUUUAUAACCCCUAUAAAAUCAUUUGAAUGAUGAUACUUUGCUACCUGGACAAAGAAACACAUUUGCGGAUAAAUUUACAUCAUAGAAAAAUACAUGACAAAGAUUUCCAUUUGCAGAGGUAUACAAAUACAUAGGUUUGAAAAAGUUUUGCGACGGUCAUAAAUAUAUAUAAAUUCUAAACUUCAAAAUGGUGUGAUUAGGUGUUUAUAUAUUUUAUAAACCGCGGUCUCUCAUAACCGCCCAUAGGAGGGUAUAGUACAAGAAAUACUGAUAUUUACUGCAUGUAAAGACAAGAUAAACUAAAUGCAGCGGUUUGUAAAUAUAUGUAAAUGUCGGUCUCUGAAAACAUUUACAUAACAUUUGCGUACCUCUUCAAAUCCGGGAUUUCGUGUAG
This 599-nucleotide long non-coding RNA is filed under the name Mytilus galloprovincialis (Mediterranean mussel). Lineage: Eukaryota; Metazoa; Mollusca; Bivalvia; Mytilida; Mytilidae. The record is from RNAcentral.